UUAUUACCCCCUCCGUCCGGAAUUACUUGUCGCAUAAAUGGAUAAAAAAUGUAUGUAUCUAUAACAAAAAUAUGUCUAGAUACAUCCAUUUCCUUGACAAGUAUUUCUGGACGGAGGGAGUAUAAU
This is a non-coding RNA of Triticum aestivum (bread wheat), 126 nucleotides long. NCBI's taxonomy places the organism in Eukaryota, Viridiplantae, Streptophyta, Magnoliopsida, Poales, Poaceae. The record is from Rfam.